RNAcentral lists this ribosomal RNA (468 nucleotides) under uncultured bacterium. RNAcentral describes it as "partial 16S ribosomal RNA". It matches the Rfam family "Bacterial small subunit ribosomal RNA", at positions 28 to 507 of the family's 1533-position model. The record is from RNAcentral.
GACGAACGCUGGCGGCGUGCUUAACACAUGCAAGUCGAACGGAAAGGCCCUGCUUUUGUGGGGUGCUCGAGUGGCGAACGGGUGAGUAACACGUGAGUAACCUGCCCUUGACUUUGGGAUAACUUCAGGAAACUGGGGCUAAUACCGGAUAGGAGCUCCUGCUGCAUGGUGGGGGUUGGAAAGUUUCGGCGGUUGGGGAUGGACUCGCGGCUUAUCAGCUUGUUGGUGGGGUAGUGGCGUACCAAGGCUUUGACGGGUAGCCGGCCUGAGAGGGUGACCGGCCACCUUGGGCCUGCGGUACGGCCCAGACUCCUACGGGCGGCAGCAGUGGGGAAUAUUGCGCAAUGGGCCGACGCCUGAUGCAGCAACGCCGCGUGCGGGAUGACGGCCUUCGGGUUGUAAACCGCUUUCGCCUGUGACGAAGCGUGAGUGACGGUAAUGGGUAAAGAAGCACCGGCUAACUACGUG